RNAcentral lists this microRNA precursor (60 nucleotides) under Blattella germanica (German cockroach). RNAcentral describes it as "Bge-Mir-252-P2-v2_pre stem-loop". It matches the Rfam family "mir-252 microRNA precursor family", at positions 10 to 70 of the family's 77-position model. Lineage: Eukaryota; Metazoa; Arthropoda; Insecta; Blattodea; Blattellidae. The record is from RNAcentral.
UAAGUACUAGUGCCGCAGGAGUGUGCUUGAGUAAUUUCUCCUGCUGCUCAAGUGCUUAUC